This 734-nucleotide unclassified non-coding RNA is filed under the name Hevea brasiliensis (rubber tree). Lineage: Eukaryota; Viridiplantae; Streptophyta; Magnoliopsida; Malpighiales; Euphorbiaceae. The record is from RNAcentral.
AACAGCUACCAGCGCAGCAAAAACAUCUGUGAAACCGGGAGACGCCAUCUGGGACUUCAUACAUGACCGACAAAAAAGACCCCUCCCUCGAAUCAGAUUCUCAGAAAAAAGUUCUGGAAUAAUGUUCUUUAUGUUGGUGGCAUUAACCUUGUUAACAAGCCCAUUAAUACUCUUACGAAGGGCAUCCCAUGUCAACCUCUGGUACUCCACAGAGCUUUUAUCUUGAAUUUCCUUCAUCAUUCGGGCCAAUUUGAAAGGAGGUAUGUAAACACCCCCACUUCUACCCAAAUUUGAUGCAUCAGCGUUCAAAUUUCCUUCUCCAAUUGUCGUUUUGACGGGUUUUGAGUCUUCAACCAACUUUCCACGCUCGCCAUCUCCCCGCACUUCAUCUUUCUCUUUACGUCUCCCAUUUUCCCCAUCAUCCCUGUUCCUAUGCCUCCUACGCCUGUCUUCAUCAAUUCUAUCCCUCUCUCGUUCUGAUUUCCAUUGUAAGUCCCUACUUCUAUCCUCAGCUUCUCCCCUUAUAUGUACAUUUUCAUGCCGACGGUUUCUUUCUCUUUCAUGCCUGUCUCUCCUCUCCCGGUAAUCACCUUCAUCAGAACUCUGAUUAUACUCUUUAACCCUAUCCCUACGGUCAAUAUUUCUCUCUCUCUCUCGUUCAUCCCUUUCUCUCUCUACUAAUUCUCCUUCCUCAUCAGAACUUACCCUCGAUGACCUCCUUUCUCGAACCUCUC